GUGCCAGCAGCUGCGGUAAUACGUAGGUGGCAAGCGUUGUCCGGAUUUAUUGGGCGUAAAGCGAGCGCAGGCGGUUUUUUAGGUCUGAUGUGAAAGCCUUCGGCUUAACCGGAGAAGUGCAUCGGAAACCGGGAGACUUGAGUGCAGAAGAGGACAGUGGAACUCCAUGUGUAGCGGUGAAAUGCGUAGAUAUAUGGAAGAACACCAGUGGCGAAGGCGGCUGUCUGGUCUGCAACUGACGCUGAGGCUCGAAAGCAUGGGUAGCGAACAGGAUUAGAUACCCUGGUAGUCCAUGCCGUAAACGAUGAGUGCUAAGUGUUGGAGGGUUUCCGCCCUUCAGUGCUGCAGCUAACGCAUUAAGCACUCCGCCUGGGGAGUACGACCGCAAGGUUGAAACUCAAAGGAAUUGGACGGGGCCCGCACAAGCGGUGGAGCAUGUGGUUUAAUUCGAUGCUACGCGAAGAACCUUACCAGGUCUUGACAUCUUCUG
RNAcentral lists this ribosomal RNA (490 nucleotides) under uncultured Lactobacillus sp. RNAcentral's name for it is "bacterial SSU rRNA". It matches the Rfam family "Bacterial small subunit ribosomal RNA", at positions 505 to 993 of the family's 1533-position model. Lineage: Bacteria; Bacillati; Bacillota; Bacilli; Lactobacillales; Lactobacillaceae. The record is from RNAcentral.